GACGAACGCUGGCGGCGUGCCUAAUACAUGCAAGUCGAACGAACUCUGGUAUUGAUUGGUGCUUGCAUCAUGAUUUACAUUUGAGUGAGUGGCGAACUGGUGAGUAACACGUGGGAAACCUGCCCAGAAGCGGGGGAUAACACCUGGAAACAGAUGCUAAUACCGCAUAACAACUUGGACCGCAUGGUCCGAGUUUGAAAGAUGGCUUCGGCUAUCACUUUUGGAUGGUCCCGCGGCGUAUUAGCUAGAUGGUGAGGUAACGGCUCACCAUGGCAAUGAUACGUAGCCGACCUGAGAGGGUAAUCGGCCACAUUGGGACUGAGACACGGCCCAAACUCCUACGGGAGGCAGCAGUAGGGAAUCUUCCACAAUGGACGAAAGUCUGAUGGAGCAACGCCGCGUGAGUGAAGAAGGGUUUCGGCUCGUAAAACUCUGUUGUUAAAGAAGAACAUAUCUGAGAGUAACUGUUCAGGUAUUGACGGUAUUUAACCAGAAAGCCACGGCUAACUACGUGCCAGCAGCCGCGGUAAUACGUAGGUGGCAAGCGUUGUCCGGAUUUAUUGGGCGUAAAGCGAGCGCAGGCGGUUUUUUAAGUCUGAUGUGAAAGCCUUCGGCUCAACCGAAGAAGUGCAUCGGAAACUGGGAAACUUGAGUGCAGAAGAGGACAGUGGAACUCCUGGUGUAGCGGUGAAAUGCGUAGAUAUAUGGAAGAACACAGUGGCGAAGGCGGCUGUCUGGUCUGUAACUGACGCUGAGGCUCGAAAGUAUGGGUAGCAAACAGGAUUAGAUACCCUGGUAGUCCAUACCGUAAACGAUGAAUGCUAAGUGUUGGAGGGUUUCCGCCCUUCAGUGCUGCAGCUAACGCAUUAAGCAUUCCGCCUGGGGAGUACGGCCGCAAGGCUGAAACUCAAAGGAAUUGACGGGGGCCCGCACAAGCGGUGGAGCAUGUGGUUUAAUUCGAAGCUACGCGAAGAACCUUACCAGGUCUUGACAUACUAUGCAAAUCUAAGAGAUUAGACGUUCCCUUCGGGGACAUGGAUACAGGUGGUGCAUGGUUGUCGUCAGCUCGUGUCGUGAGAUGUUGGGUUAAGUCCCGCAACGAGCGCAACCCUUAUUAUCAGUUGCCAGCAUUAAGUUGGGCACUCUGGUGAGACUGCCGGUGACAAACCGGAGGAAGGUGGGGAUGACGUCAAAUCAUCAUGCCCCUUAUGACCUGGGCUACACACGUGCUACAAUGGAUGGUACAACGAGUUGCGAACUCGCGAGAGUAAGCUAAUCUCUUAAAGCCAUUCUCAGUUCGGAUUGUAGGCUGCAACUCGCCUACAUGAAGUCGGAAUCGCUAGUAAUCGCGGAUCAGCAUGCCGCGGUGAAUACGUUCCCGGGCCUUGUACACACCGCCCGUCACACCAUGAGAGUUUGUAACACCCAAAGUCGGUGGGGUAACCUUUUAGGAACCAGCCGCCUAAGGUGGGACAGAUGAUUAGGGUG
RNAcentral lists this ribosomal RNA (1488 nucleotides) under Lactiplantibacillus pentosus. RNAcentral describes it as "bacterial SSU rRNA". It matches the Rfam family "Bacterial small subunit ribosomal RNA". The record is from RNAcentral. Lineage: Bacteria; Bacillati; Bacillota; Bacilli; Lactobacillales; Lactobacillaceae.